GACGAACGCUGGCGGCGUGCCUAAUACAUGCAAGUAGAACGCUGAAGGAGGAGCUUGCUUCUCUGGAUGAGUUGCGAACGGGUGAGUAACGCGUAGGUAACCUGCCUUGUAGCGGGGGAUAACUAUUGGAAACGAUAGCUAAUACCGCAUAAUAGCAGUUGUUGCAUGACAACUGUUUGAAAGGUGCAAUUGCACCACUACCAGAUGGACCUGCGUUGUAUUAGCUAGUUGGUGUGGUAACGGCUCACCAAGGCGACGAUACAUAGCCGACCGGAGAGGGGGAUCGGCCACACUGGGACUGAGACACGGCCCAGACUCCUACGGGAGGCAGCAGUAGGGAAUCUUCGGCAAUGGACGGAAGUCUGACCGAGCAACGCGGCGUGAGUGAAGAAGGUUUUCGGAUCGUAAAGCUCUGUUGUAAGAGAAGAACGAGUGUGAGAGUGGAAAGUUCACACUGUGACGGUAUCUUACCAGAAAGGGACGGCUAACUACGUG
This 495-nucleotide ribosomal RNA is filed under the name uncultured bacterium. RNAcentral's name for it is "partial 16S ribosomal RNA". It matches the Rfam family "Bacterial small subunit ribosomal RNA", at positions 28 to 507 of the family's 1533-position model. The record is from RNAcentral.